GCUAUGUAGCAAGGUUAAGUACUUAAGGUAUGGAGCCGAAGGGAAACCGAGUCUGAAAAGGGCGAAAAGUUGCAUGGUGUAGACCCGAAACCGGGUGACCUAUCCAUGGCCAGGUUGAAGCGAGAGUAAAAUCUCGUGGAGGACCGAACCACGUUGGUGUUGAAAAACCAUGGGAUGAGCUGUGGAUAGCGGAGAAAUUCCAAUCGAACUCGGAGAUAGCUGGUUCUCCUCGAAAUAGCUUUAGGGCUAGCGUCGUGUAAUUGAGUAAUGGAGGUAGAGCACUGAAUGGGCUAGGGGCUAUAGUAGUUACCGAACCCUAUCAAACUCCGAAUGCCAUAUACUUGUAUCACGGCAGUCAGACUGCGAAUGAUAAGAUCCGUAGUCAAAAGGGAAACAGCCCAGACCAUCAGCUAAGGUCCCAAAGUGUAAGUUAAGUGGAAAAGGAUGUGGGAUUUCUAAGACAACUAGGAUGUUGGCUUAGAAGCAGCCACUCAUUUAAAGAGUGCGUAAUAGCUCACUAGUCAAGAGAUCCUGCGCCGAAGAUGUCCGGGGCUCAAACUUACCACCGAAGCUAUGGGUGUACACUAUGUGUACGCGGUAGAGGAGCUUUCUGUAUGGGUUGAAGUCGUACCGUAAGGAGCGGUGGACUGUACAGAAGUGAGAAUGCUGGCAUAAGUAGCGAGAAAUAAGUGAGAAUCUUAUUGGCCGAAAACCUAAGGUUUCCUGGGGAAGGUUCGUCCGCCCAGGGUUAGUCGGGACCUAAGCCGAGGCCGAAAGGCGUAGGUGAUGGACAAUCGGUUGAUAUUCCGAUACCGCCUAUUUACGUUUGAG
RNAcentral lists this ribosomal RNA (831 nucleotides) under Clostridium botulinum. Its description in RNAcentral is "partial 23S ribosomal RNA". It matches the Rfam family "Bacterial large subunit ribosomal RNA", at positions 632 to 1462 of the family's 2925-position model. Lineage: Bacteria; Bacillati; Bacillota; Clostridia; Eubacteriales; Clostridiaceae. The record is from RNAcentral.